Long non-coding RNA from Rhinichthys klamathensis goyatoka, 359 nucleotides. RefSeq lists it as uncharacterized. The record is from RefSeq and is a predicted model, not a curated record. The transcript is spliced from 3 exons. Lineage: Eukaryota; Metazoa; Chordata; Actinopteri; Cypriniformes; Leuciscidae.
UACAAAGGAUUGCAGAGGCAACAAAGGACCUGGAGAAACUCACUGCUGAGUUAUCUCUACAGCAAGACACAGUCCAGCAGUGGGUGUCUGAUGUUCAGCAGUGGACCUCAGGAGAAACAAUCCAAAAUGACCUGUAGAGGACCAUCGAGGGGCUAUAUUUGGGCAUCAAACAGCGAACAUUUCAGCUGUAUCGUCAGUCUGGUGGGAAUAAGCGAAGGCAUCAACUGAGAAGAAAGAUUGCUGUUGAGAAGAAAGCCUUGGAAGUUGCCAUCAAUGACCACAAUGCUACUGUGGGGGAAGUUGAAAAACUGCCUCCUCCCAAUGAACUCCUGGCUGUGGACAACUACUCCUGGCCAUGG